RNAcentral lists this ribosomal RNA (216 nucleotides) under Glomeromycotina sp. Its description in RNAcentral is "partial small subunit ribosomal RNA". The stretch from base 40 to 216 matches the Rfam family "Eukaryotic small subunit ribosomal RNA", at positions 686 to 864 of the family's 1831-position model. The record is from RNAcentral. Lineage: Eukaryota; Fungi; Glomeromycota.
GGGUCAGUAGGUUGGUCGUGCCACCGGUACGUACUGGUCUCACUGAUUCCUCCUUCCUGAAUAACCGUAAUGCCAUUUAUUUGGUGUUGCGGGGAAACAGGACUGUUACUUUGAAAAAAUUAGAGUGUUUAAAGCAAGCUAACGCUUGAAUACAUUAGCAUGGAAUAAUGAAAUAGGACGAUCGAUCCUAUUUUGUUGGUUUCUAGGAUUGACGUA